CGGAGGGCGGUGCUGGCACCGCCGCCGCUCCCACAGCGUUAUUUGUCAGGAUAACAUGUUUUGUUUGUUUGCCAAAGAAUAUAUUUGAUCAAAGAUCUCGGGGCUUAUCUGUCUCAAUGUUUUUGUCAUUGAUUAUACAACGUCUGUGUUUUCUAGGUCACUUACGUAUUAUGCUUCUAUAUGAGCAUGUCAAAGAAAUGUAUUCACUAAUGUAUGUUUAAUGUGAAUGCAUCUGAACUCUUAUUCAAACAACGAAUGUUUCCUACUCUUUAAUAUCUUCCACUCAACUCCUUUUGGAAAUUAACAUAUUUUUAUAAAUAUUAUCCAUAAUCCCAAAUAUUAUCAGCAGCUAUAAUAGGUUUAAAAAACCGUAACAUUUACAGUUGAGCCUUAUAGUCUGAUGCAUGUUUUUCACUAAUUAACCCAUUUUAGUUGUUUUGUAUCCCAAGACGCUCUGUAUUCAUCAUUUAUAUGCUCUAUUUAACUCUUUUCAGGCAGAAGACAAUAUGAAUAUAUACAAGCAAACUCCUGCAUAUGUUACCCUAGUGAAUUGUUCAUUCUUUGAUGAAUGUGCUGGCUGGAAAGUGAUUAUUGUAGCUGAAUAGAAAAUUCUUGUUCUCUUGUUUAAAAAAGAAAAAGAAAAAAAGAAAAAAAGGCUUUUUUUCCAGGACAUGGUGUUCCUAAAAGAGACAGAUUGACUCUAUAUGAAAUAAAAAAUAUGUAUACCAAAAUUACCAGCCUUUUAAUAAAAAGAGGUUUUCAAAGUUUUCAUAAGGCUAAUAUAUAAUAACACAACAGUACUGUCACUGUAUUCUGUAGCACUCCUAAACAACAGACCCCGCACAAACACUGAUGUUGCCUAUUUUCUCCACAGAAUCUCUGAAUGUAUUUACGUAUUUGGAAACCUGUUUUACCAAAAAUAUUUGAAUCUGAAAUGUGUGAUUCGUAUCCCAGCAAACUGACAUGGGAAUGGAAGUUGGAACUUGACGGGAAGUAUGGAAUGGCACAUCCUAAAAAUAGAAGUGCAACAGCACUGACUCAAGACCAAGUCAUCCCUUACAGGAAUUAUCUACAAAGGAAACGAAAUUUCAUGGCAUCUCUCUGUCAUCCUUCCCUGCAGAUGGUGCCUCCAAAUCCCUUCUGA
This 1144-nucleotide long non-coding RNA is filed under the name Zonotrichia albicollis (white-throated sparrow). RNAcentral describes it as "lncRNA (ENSZALG00000015222.1)". Lineage: Eukaryota; Metazoa; Chordata; Aves; Passeriformes; Passerellidae. The record is from RNAcentral.